CGGUGAAUACGUUCCCGGACCUUGCACACACCGCCCGUCAAGCCGUGGAAGCCGGGUGUACCUAAAGUCGGUAACCGCAAGGAGCUGCCUAGGGUAAAAUCGGUGACUGGGGCU
Molecule: ribosomal RNA, 114 nt
Filed under: uncultured bacterium
Lineage: Bacteria
Description: partial 16S ribosomal RNA
Rfam family: Bacterial small subunit ribosomal RNA
Source: RNAcentral